This is a long non-coding RNA of Suricata suricatta (meerkat), 617 nucleotides long. RefSeq lists it as uncharacterized. The transcript is spliced from 3 exons. NCBI's taxonomy places the organism in Eukaryota, Metazoa, Chordata, Mammalia, Carnivora, Herpestidae. The record is from RefSeq and is a predicted model, not a curated record.
UCCACCCCAGCCACACCGUGACUGUGAUGUCUUCACAAUAGCCCUCCUCCAUGACGGCUGUCCUCCAAGUUCUCAAAGGCGCAUGUUGCCACCUUCCAGGAGAUGCUGGGACCCACAUGGAGAACCCCCCGACGUGGAGUGCCCGGCCAGUGUGGGUGCCCCGAGGUGCAGCCACUGAGAUGGUGCUGGCAUGCUACCCUGGAAGGGGGAGAUCAGGAGCCUUGUUUACAGCUGGGGAGUCUCAGGUAUGGAGAGAUCAGUGACUUCCCUGGCCCUGCAAAUGAAGGAAGUGGAAGCUCUGGGAUUUGAACCCUGCUCUGACCCAUCUCUUCUAAUUUCAAGGGUUUUGUGGAAGGAGCAGAGUGUGACUUCCAAGGCUACGUCAUGAAAUCUCUCGCAGCUUCUGUCUUGGUCUUGGGUUUGAUCCCUCCAGGGAAGCCAGCUGCCUUGCCAUGAAGUCACUCAGGCAGCCCAUGGAAGGCCCUCAUGGAAAGGACCUGAAGUCCUACCUCCAGCUGUCACCAGCUUGCGGCUCUUAUGAACGAGCCCCUCAGGACGCCUGGGUGGCUCAGUCAGUUGGGCGUCUGACUUCAGCUCCGGUCAUGAUCUCACGGUUC